Paramuricea clavata is the source of this 86-nucleotide non-coding RNA. Lineage: Eukaryota; Metazoa; Cnidaria; Anthozoa; Malacalcyonacea; Plexauridae. The record is from the annotation of a GenBank genome assembly.
UUGGUUUCAAGUAGAUCAUACCUGUUUAACCAUCGACAAAGUUGUGGAUUUACCUUGUCGAUGGUUAAACAGGUAUGAUCUACUUG